CAGUCGCCGCGGUAAUACGAAGGGUGCAAGCGUUACUCGGAAUUACUGGGCGUAAAGCGUGCGUAGGUGGUGGUUUAAGUCCGUUGUGAAAGCCCUGGGCUCAACCUGGGAAUUGCAGUGGAUACUGGGUCACUAGAGUGUGGUAGAGGAUAGUGGAAUUUCCGGUGUAGCAGUGAAAUGCGUAGAGAUCGGAAGGAACAUCUGUGGCGAAGGCGACUAUCUGGGCCAACACUGACACUGAGGCACGAAAGCGUGGGGAGCAAACAGGAUUAGAUACCCCGGUAGUCCCUGUCUCUUACAC
This 301-nucleotide ribosomal RNA is filed under the name uncultured bacterium. RNAcentral describes it as "partial 16S ribosomal RNA". It matches the Rfam family "Bacterial small subunit ribosomal RNA", at positions 509 to 809 of the family's 1533-position model. The record is from RNAcentral.